Molecule: ribosomal RNA, 253 nt
Filed under: uncultured bacterium
Lineage: Bacteria
Description: partial 16S ribosomal RNA
Rfam family: Bacterial small subunit ribosomal RNA
Source: RNAcentral
UACGUAGGGUGCGAGCGUUAAUCGGAAUUACUGGGCGUAAAGCGUGCGCAGGCGGGCUUUUAAGUCAGACGUGAAAUCCCCGGGCUUAACCUGGGAAUGGCGUUUGGGACUGGGAGUCUGGAGUGCGGCAGAGGAGACUGGAAUUCCUGGUGUAGCAGUGAAAUGCGUAGAUAUCAGGAGGAACACCGGUGGCGAAGGCGGAUCUCUGGGCCAUUACUGACGCUGAGGAGCGAAAGCGUGGGGAGCGAACAGG